UACAGAGGGUGCAAGCGUUGUUCGGAUUUACUGGGCGUAAAGGGCGCGUAGGCGGCGCAACAAGUCACUUGUGAAAUCUCCGGGCUUAACCCGGAGCGGCCAAGUGAUACUGUCGUGCUAGAGUGCGGAAGGGGCUACUGGAAUUCUCGGUGUAGCGGUGAAAUGCGUAGAUAUCGAGAGGAACACCUGCGGCGAAGGCGGGUAGCUGGGCCGACACUGACGCUGAGGCGCGAAAGCCAGGGGAGCGAACGGG
This 253-nucleotide ribosomal RNA is filed under the name uncultured bacterium. Its description in RNAcentral is "partial 16S ribosomal RNA". It matches the Rfam family "Bacterial small subunit ribosomal RNA", at positions 524 to 776 of the family's 1533-position model. The record is from RNAcentral.